UUAUCAGACUUGUUACAAGAUUGUUCUAACAAGUCUGAUGCAGUCAUGAUGUAGCAAGAAUGUUACAAGGUUGAUGACACAAGGUUGUAACAAUAUUGUUGUAUCAUGACUGAAUCGGACUUGUUGGAACAAUGCAUCAUGCAACCAGUCUGAUAA
Molecule: non-coding RNA, 156 nt
Organism: Paramuricea clavata
Lineage: Eukaryota; Metazoa; Cnidaria; Anthozoa; Malacalcyonacea; Plexauridae
Source: the annotation of a GenBank genome assembly